This 152-nucleotide ribosomal RNA is filed under the name Rhizoctonia solani. RNAcentral describes it as "5.8S ribosomal RNA". It matches the Rfam family "5.8S ribosomal RNA". From Rfam's summary of the family: 5.8S ribosomal RNA (5.8S rRNA) is a component of the large subunit of the eukaryotic ribosome. Lineage: Eukaryota; Fungi; Basidiomycota; Agaricomycetes; Cantharellales; Ceratobasidiaceae. The record is from RNAcentral.
UAAGUUUCAACAACGGAUCUCUUGGCUCUCGCAUCGAUGAAGAACGCAGCGAAAUGCGAUAAGUAAUGUGAAUUGCAGAAUUCAGUGAAUCAUCGAAUCUUUGAACGCACCUUGCGCUCCUUGGUAUUCCUUGGAGCAUGCCUGUUUGAGUA